AUUAUUAAUAGUAUGACCACGAUGCGUUUGUCAAAACCAAGAAAUUAUCAUUGGUAUGUCAUAUUCCUACUGACUACCCUACAGAUUUUGAGUUUGUCUGAGGUUUUCUCACAACCGGACUGGGGUUUGGGGUCUGGGAGAAGAAUAACACAGGGUUGAGGCUCCUCACCUUGUCCCUCGUGUCAGGGGAAUGUGCUGGGGACAUGCCUGGCCACCCCUGAUGUUAAACCUGGCCACUCAUUUAAGGUGCCAGCUUUGUCCGCGCUAAAGGGACGCUCUUGCCUCCCCACAUUCUUUGGAAUUAAUCGCCUUCAUUCAAGUUGGAGGACUCAAGCCUCACCUCCUGGAGGGAGGUGUCUACUGGGACCAUCUGCAAUUCUUCUGUUAAAAAUGUGUCCCUUUUAUCACAGUUAUUUGUGUGUUCAAUCAUUUAUUGACAUGACUCUGGCAGGAGGAAGUAAAUUGGUCACAUUCACAAACCAUGUUUUCAGUUACACAGCAAGCAUCUGGUUGCUUUUUGGGAGUUUGUGAUUAUUUUAAUAAUAUUUUCAGAUAUUUCAAUUUUCAGUAGCAAUAAUAAUAGGGAGAAUGAUGAUGAGGGAGGCUCAUCUCCCUAAUGUCACAUUAAAGAGAGGUAUUUCCCAACAGGGAAGAAUUAGAGUGGGUAAUUCAGGCCUUUCUCUCCAUCCACUUAGCUGAUUUACUUCAGAUUAGGAAAAAGAGAUAAUCAAAUUAGUGGCAGCCUGUGGUCAGAGUAUAUGGAUAUUUGAUGUAUCUAUAGUCUUAAUCAAAUAUCAAAUAUCCCAUAUGCUCAUAACUAUCCAGGGAGCUGUUUGCAGAUUAAAUAAGAUGAUGUAUAUAGUAUUUAAAGUAUCAGCACUUUUUAAAAAAUAAACAAUAAAACAUAUGUUCCGGUAAAGGCACUUGCCGAAUGUACACAGCUCACAAAUAUUGGAGCUGGAAUUCAGACCCCACUGACUCCGUCAUGAUAUUAUGUAAUUACUCUGAUUUUACAUACGAGUGAACCAAAGCUAUUAAGGAGCAUAGUCAGGAUUAGAAAUCCAAACUGCCAGAUUCCAGAUCUUUCUUCCUACUGGUGCAUAUAUCUGCCCCUGAUCAUCAAGGCACCCUCUACUCUGCCUUCCCUUCUUCCCCAUUGUCCUUCUUAGGAACUUUCCAGUAUCAGAAAAGCAGUGAGCUGCGGACUGAGUGACACCCACUGAGAUGUGGGCUCGGCUUGGCAAAGCAUGGAAACGUCCUCAUUUCUGGCAUGCCUCACUGAUCAAGAUGUUCUCUGGGCUAGAGAAAUGUAUAAAUGUGGGUGUUUGCUGCUCUUUUAUCAUGGACACUGUGCUGAUCUCUCAAGACCCUUCGAGACAUGAGGACAUUCCUCUUUCUCUUUGCUGUUCUCUUCCUUCUGGCCCCAGGUAAAAUGAACGUCUUUGUAGGGAAGGUUCUAGAGGUGGUGGCCCAGAGAAAGAGUCUGCUUCAGUGAGCACCUUGGUGUGGUCAGCCCGGUGGCCCUGCAGGGGAGCAUUUACUAUGGGAGGUGACCCCCCCUAAUGUCUCUUCUAUAAAUCCAUUGCAUUUUCCCUGAUUGUCUAAGAUGGGGUAUCACGGGGUUGAGGAAAUAAAGAUAUGCCAGGAAAGAUGCCCUUUGGUCCCCAGCUCCAUGCUCACUAACAAAAACAAAAAAUUGGGGAAAAAAUGUAAAAGCUAGGGUUGGCAUCUAUGGGUCUUGUAAAAAAUAGUCGUGAUAGAUAUGAGACAGGUAAGAAAGAGAGCCAGAAAAAGGCAAAAGGGGACGAGGAAAGGGACGGAGCUCGGACACCGCGUUCACGCCGGCCAUGGCGCAGGUCAAACGUACGUGUCAAACUGCUGCUCCUUCGUCACAACACCAUGAAGCUGGGCACUUGUGACGAACACUUCACACCACAAAAUGCAUGCCGUUCACCAAUGCCGGGACCUUUAAGAAAACUCUGUCCUACUUCGAAUUUAGUGAUUUUAGACCAACACUUCAGGCUUGGAAGGUUUGCUUUAUAGAUAUUUUUCAGAGGCAGGAACUGAGCCUCAGAUGGGCUAGGCGGCUUCUCAAAGUCAUACAGAUAAGCGGGAAUGAAGCCAGGACCCGAGAGUUCACAGCAGGACUCCUGCCACAUCCUCUGGCUCCCAGGAACCUCGAGUGGCUCCAGUCAGAUCUUCCUCAGAAUAAAAUCCAAGACUAGACUUAUCCCAGUUUCCAGAGAGCUAGAGAAAGGGCUUUUCAGAGCCUGCAACGAGCCCAAAUUGUGCCAGAUGCUAUAGAUGUCUCCUUAGGAGGUUCAGAAUUCUCACGCCAGCUGUAUGCGUUGCUGGUCUGUUUUGCAGUGAGCCUGUGUGGUUCGAUUCUGUGCCAAGUGCACGGGAUCCAGGACCUACGCCAGGAACGCGUUUUUUGACGAGAAAUGCUCCAAGCUUCAAGGGAGGUGCGUGAAUUCUUGUCAGAAAAAUGAAGAACUCGUUGCUCUCUGCCAGAAGUCUCUGAAAUGCUGC
This is an RNA transcript of Leopardus geoffroyi (Geoffroy's cat), 2532 nucleotides long. It is a transcript of the gene named defensin beta 106B, with no coding region annotated. The record is from RefSeq and is a predicted model, not a curated record. Lineage: Eukaryota; Metazoa; Chordata; Mammalia; Carnivora; Felidae. The transcript is spliced from 2 exons.